AUUGAACGCUGGCGGCAGGCCUAACACAUGCAAGUCGAACGGUAACAGGAAGCAGCUUGCUGCUUUGCUGACGAGUGGCGGACGGGUGAGUAAUGUCUGGGAAACUGCCUGAUGGAGGGGGAUAACUACUGGAAACGGUAGCUAAUACCGCAUAACGUCGCAAGACCAAAGAGGGGGACCUUCGGGCCUCUUGCCAUCAGAUGUGCCCAGAUGGGAUUAGCUAGUAGGUGGGGUAACGGCUCACCUAGGCGACGAUCCCUAGCUGGUCUGAGAGGAUGACCAGCCACACUGGAACUGAGACACGGUCCAGACUCCUACGGGAGGCAGCAGUGGGGAAUAUUGCACAAUGGGCGCAAGCCUGAUGCAGCCAUGCCGCGUGUAUGAAGAAGGCCUUCGGGUUGUAAAGUACUUUCAGCGGGGAGGAAGGCGAUGUGGUUAAUAACCGCGUCGAUUGACGUUACCCGCAGAAGAAGCACCGGCUAACUCCGUG
Molecule: ribosomal RNA, 490 nt
Filed under: uncultured Enterobacteriaceae bacterium
Lineage: Bacteria; Pseudomonadati; Pseudomonadota; Gammaproteobacteria; Enterobacterales; Enterobacteriaceae
Description: bacterial SSU rRNA
Rfam family: Bacterial small subunit ribosomal RNA
Source: RNAcentral